ACUGAAAGUCAGUAAUGUUUUAUUUAAAGAUCCCCGGUAUCACAAUUCCCUUUGCGGUCCAUAUUAGUUGAAUUGUUAAACCGCGCUGAUCGGUUGGUAUUUUGUGAUUGGUAUAUUCCUCGUUCUGUGGCAGACAGACCCGUUCAGACACUGAGGGAGAGCAGAGAGGAGGUGAGAGAGUCUGCAUGGAGCUCUACAAUGUGUUUAUAAACUACAGAGCGCUGUUAUAUUGUAUUAUUUUGAAAGGUCCGGGUUGUAGUGUGGUAGGAGCGCGUUGUUUUAUCCGUUCAGACACUGAGGGAGAGCAGAGAGGAGGUGAGAGAGUCUGCAUGGAGCUCUACAAUGUGUUUAUAAACUACAGAGCGCUGUUAUAUUGUAUUAUUUUGAAAGGUCCGGGUUGUAGUGUGGUAGGAGCGCGUUGUUUUAUCCGUUCAGACACUGAGGGAGAGCAGAGAGGAGGUGAGAGAGUCUGCAUGGAGCUCUACAAUGUGUUUAUAAACUACAGAGCGCUGUUAUAUUGUAUUAUUUUGAAAGGUCCGGGUUGUAGUGUGGUAGGAGCGCGUUGUUUUAUCCGUUCAGACACUGAGGGAGAGCAGAGAGGAGGUGAGAGAGUCUGCAUGGAGCUCUACAAUGUGUUUAUAAACUACAGAGCGCUGUUAUAUUGUAUUAUUUUGAAAGGUCCGGGUUGUAGUGUGGUAGGAGCGCGUUGUUUUAUCCGUUCAGACACUGAGGGAGAGCAGAGAGGAGGUGAGAGAGUCUGCAUGGAGCUCUACAAUGUGUUUAUAAACUACAGAGCGCUGUUAUAUUGUAUUAUUUUGAAAGGUCCGGGUUGUAGUGUGGUAGGAGCGCGUUGUUUUAUCCGUUCAGACACUGAGGGAGAGCAGAGAGGAGGUGAGAGAGUCUGCAUGGAGCUCUACAAUGUGUUUAUAAACUACAGAGCGCUGUUAUAUUGUAUUAUUUUGAAAGGUCCGGGUUGUAGUGUGGUAGGAGCGCGUUGUUUUAUCCGUUCAGACACUGAGGGAGAGCAGAGAGGAGGUGAGAGAGUCUGCAUGGAGCUCUACAAUGUGUUUAUAAACUACAGAGCGCUGUUAUAUUGUAUUAUUUUGAAAGGUCCGGGUUGUAGUGUGGUAGGAGCGCGUUGUUUUAUCCGUUCAGACACUGAGGGAGAGCAGAGAGGAGGUGAGAGAGUCUGCAUGGAGCUCUACAAUGUGUUUAUAAACUACAGAGCGCUGUUAUAUUGUAUUAUUUUGAAAGGUCCGGGUUGUAGUGUGGUAGGAGCGCGUUGUUUUAUCCGUUCAGACACUGAGGGAGAGCAGAGAGGAGGUAAGAGAGUCUGCAUGGAGCUCUACAAUGUGUUUAUAAACUACAGAGCGCUGUUAUAUUGUAUUAUUUUGAAAGGUCCGGGUUGUAGUGUGGUAGGAGCGCGUUGUUUUAUCCGUUCAGACACUGAGGGAGAGCAGAGAGGAGGUGAGAGAGUCUGCAUGGAGCUCUACAAUGUGUUUAUAAACUACAGAGCGCUGUUAUAUUGUAUUAUUUUGAAAGGUCCGGGUUGUAGUGUGGUAGGAGCGCGUUGUUUUACCCGUUCAGACACUGAGGGAGAGCAGAGAGGAGGUGAGAGAGUCUGCAUGGAGCUCUACAAUGUGUUUAUAAACUACAGAGCGCUGUUAUAUUGUAUUAUUUUGAAAGGUCCGGGUUGUAGUGUGGUAGGAGCGCGUUGUUUUACCCGUUCAGACACUGAGGGAGAGCAGAGAGGAGGUGAGAGAGUCUGCAUGGAGCUCUACAAUGUGUUUAUAAACUACAGAGCGCUGUUAUAUUGUAUUAUUUUGAAAGGUCUGGGUUGUAGUGUGGUAGGAGCGCGUUGUUUUAUCCGUUCAGACACUGAGGGAGAGCAGAGAGGAGAUUUGGGGUGGCUGCAAACAGCUCUCACCUGAAGAGAAGAAAGGACACAUUCACUGCAGCUCCCCCAGCAGAGAAAGGCAGCGACUCCCUCUCGAAGAGAACAAAGAGAGGCUAACAGCAUGCAGCUGACACCCAGGGAGGGGGCGUGUUCUUGUGCGUGGAACUGCAAGAGAGGGGUUUAAAUAUGCAGUGCAGUCUAGUCUACACAGAUUACCUGUUGUUAUCUGUUUGAGCUGCCUAUUUGCUCUGGAGAGAAGAAUCGAGACGGUCAGAGUGAGCGACUGGAGCACUAGAGCCGUGCUGCAGAUCCUAUUGACAAUACCUGAAGACUGCCUUAUCUUGGUGGAAGCCAAGGAGGAAAGAUGGAGUCUGUUUACAUUAAACAGGAGGAGGAGGGUCUGGAAUUGUUUCCUCUCCACAUUAAAGAAGAGACUGAACUGGAGUCUGUCCACAUUAAAGAAGAGACUGAACUGGAGUCUGUCCACAUUAAAGAAGAGACUGAACUGGAGUCUGUCCACAUUAAAGAAGAGACUGAACUGGAGUCUGUCCACAUUAAAGAAGAGAGUGAACUGCAGCUUGUCCACAUUAAAGAGGAAGAGCCUGAACUGCAGCCUGUCCACAUUAAACAAGAGACUGAACUGGAGCCUGUCUACAUUAAGGAAGAAGAGACUGAACUGCAGUCUUUCCACAUUAAAGAAGAGACUGAACUGGAGCCUGUCCAUGUUAAGGAAGAAGAGACUGAACUGGAGCCUGUCCAUGUUAAGGAAGAAGAGACUGAACUGCAGCUUGUCCACAUUAAAGAAGAGACUGAACUGGAGCCUGUCCAUGUUAAAGAAGAGACUGAACAGGAGCCUGUCCAUGUUAAAGAAGAGGAGACUGAGCUGGAGCCUGUCCACAUUAAACAGGGAGAGACUAAACUGGAGCCUUUCUACAUUGAAGAGUCUACUGACUUGUCGUUUAAGGAUUUAGAAAACAUAUCCCAGAAAAAGAUAUCACAUCAAUGUAGUGAAUGUGGGAAGAACUUGAGCCAUUUAGGAAACCUAAAAAGGCACCAGAGAAUUCACACUGGAGAGAAGCCGCAUCACUGCACUGACUGUGGGAAGAGCUUCAGUCAGUCAGGACACCUAAAAUCACACCAGCGAACUCACACUGGAGACAAGCCGCAUCACUGUGCUGACUGUGGGAAGAGCUUCAAUGAGUUAGGAGACCUAAAAACACACCAGCAAAUUCACGCUGGAGAGAAGCCACAUCAGUGCAUUGACUGUGGGAAGAGAUUUGGUCUGUUACGAGGCCUAAAAAGACACCAGCGAAUUCACACUGGAAAGAAGCCAUAUCACUGCACUGACUGUGGGGAGAGCUUCAGUCGGUUAGAAAGCCUAAAAAAACACCAACGAAUGCACACUGGAGAGAAGCCGCAUCACUGCUCUGACUGUGGGAAGAGCUUUAGUCAGUUAGGAAGCCUAAAAACACACGAGAGAAUUCACACUGGAGAGAAGCCAUAUCACUGCUCUUUGUGUGGGAAGAGCUUCAGUCGGUUAGGAAGCCUAAAACAACACCAGCGAAUUCACCCUGGAGAGAAGCCGUAUCACUGCUCUAAAUGUGGGAAGAGUUUCAGUCUGUCAGGAUACCUAAAAAGACACCAGCGAAUUCACAGUGGAAAGAAGCUGCAUCACUGUACAAAAUGUGGCAAUACAUUUGCUUUCUGUGGUCGAGUGAAAAGACAUAAAUGCCAGUUUUGAAAAUGCAGAUGAAACUGAUAGGGGUAAUGAAUAGUACAUGAAUAACAUCAUGAAUAAGGGCCGGCAUAAUUACAUGAAAAGGCCUAAUAUAUAUAUAUAUUAGCUCAAAGUGCCAGCUGCCCAACAUUUCGAUAUGUUGUACAUAUCUUUCUCAAGGGAGCCUGUGUUUGAAUCAAAACAUUGGAGGUAUUUAUAGGAUUUUGACGGCAUGACGACUACUUGUUAUUGUUUACAUUCAUUCCAUGAUUUAUUCUUACAUGAUGUAAUGGUGUUCUAUAUAUUGUGACAUCAUUUUUACUUCUAUCUUUGAAUCUGUAUUAAUUCUAAUUAACACUACUUUAUAUAAACAUAUAUUUUUAUUAUAUCAUGCAAUGCUGGCUCUGAGGAUCAGUCUAGAUUUGGCCUCCCCAGCGCAUCAGCAUGCACAACUUUUGAAUGAAUUUUGAAUAUACGUACAUACAUACAUACAUACAUAUUAAAUGAGGAUUUUUUCCACUUAUCAACACACCAUACUCCACACUGUUAAGGGGAAAAAAGUUUUUUUAUUGAGAAAAAGAUGAUAUAUUACAAAUACAAAACUGGAAGAUCAUAAUUGGAUAAGUCUCCAACCCCCUGAGUUAAUACUUGGUUGAAGCACCUUUGGCAGCAAUUACAGCUGUGAGUCUGUUGGGAUAAGUCUCUAACAACUUUGCACACCUUCACAGUAGGGAUGAUGUUGUUUGGGUGAUGUGCUGUUUUGGGUUUGCGCUAAAAACAUAAUGCUUUGCAUUUAGGCCAAAAAUAUUUGCCACAUGGCUACAGAAUCUUCUGAGUUUUUUUUAGCAUACGGGAUUCAAGGUGGGCUUUCUUGAGUAAUGGCUUCCUUCUUGCCACCCUACCAUACAGGCCAGAUUUGUGGAGUGCUUGGGAUAUUGUUGUCACAUGCACACUUUGACCAGUCUUGGCCAUAAAAGCAUGUAGCUCUUGCAAAGUUGCCAUUGGCCUCUUGGUAGCCUCUCUGAUCAGUCUCCUUGCUCAGUCAUCUAGUUAGGAGGGACGGCCUGAUCUAGGCAGGGUCCUGGUGGUGCCAUAUACCUUCCACUUCUUAAUAAUCGUCUUGACCAUGCUCCAAGGGAUAUUCAAGGCCUUUGAUAACUUUGUCCCGGAGUUCUUUUGAAAGCGCCUUGAUGCUCAUGGUUGAGUCUUUGCUUUGAAAUGCACUACCCAGCAGAGAAAACCUACAGGAACUGCUGAAUUUACCCUGAAAUCAUGUGAAUCACUAUAAGGUUACACCUGAGCUAAUUUAGGAUUUCUAUUACUAGGGGGGUGGACACUUAUCCAACCAAGCUAUUUCAGUUUUUAUUUUUAAUUAAUUUUAUACAAAUUUCUAGAAUAUUUUUUUCACUUGGAAGUUGUGGGGUACGAUGUGUAGAUAAAUGAAAAAAAAAAAAUUUUUUUUAAUGCAUUUUAAUUCCAGGCUAUAAGGCAAAGGUGAACAUUUUGAA
RNA transcript from Acipenser ruthenus (sterlet), 5122 nucleotides. It is a transcript of the gene named zinc finger protein 879-like, with no coding region annotated. NCBI's taxonomy places the organism in Eukaryota, Metazoa, Chordata, Actinopteri, Acipenseriformes, Acipenseridae. The record is from RefSeq and is a predicted model, not a curated record. The transcript has 3 exons.